GACGAACGCUGGCGGCGUGCUUAACACAUGCAAGUCGAACGGCAAGGCCCUGCUUUUUUGGGGUGCUCGAGUGGCGAUCGGGUGCGUAACACGUGAGUAACCUGCUCUUGAUUUUCGGAUAACUUCAGGAAACUGGGGCUACUAUCGGACAGGAUCUCCUGCUGCGUGGUGGGGGUUGGAACGUUGAGGCGGGUGGGGUUGGACUCGCGGGUUAGCAGCUUGUUGGUGGGGUAGUUGCUUACCCAGGCUUUGACGGGUAGCCGGCCUGGGAGGGUGGACGGCCACAUUGGGCCUGAGAGACGGCGCAGAGGCCUACGGGGGGCAGCAGGGGGGAGUAUGGCACAAUGGGAGGAAGCCUGAUGCAGCAGCGCCGCGGGCGGGAUGACGGCCUUCGGGGUGUAAACCGCUGUCGCUUGAGACGAAGCGGGAGUGACGGUAAUGGGUAAAUAAGCACCGGCUAACUACGUG
Molecule: ribosomal RNA, 468 nt
Filed under: uncultured bacterium
Lineage: Bacteria
Description: partial 16S ribosomal RNA
Rfam family: Bacterial small subunit ribosomal RNA
Source: RNAcentral